RNAcentral lists this ribosomal RNA (330 nucleotides) under Biatora terrae-novae. RNAcentral's name for it is "SSU rRNA". It matches the Rfam family "Bacterial small subunit ribosomal RNA", at positions 408 to 739 of the family's 1533-position model. Lineage: Eukaryota; Fungi; Ascomycota; Lecanoromycetes; Lecanorales; Ramalinaceae. The record is from RNAcentral.
AUGAAUAGCGAUAGCUAGUUGCACAUAUAUGUGAUGCAAAAUCGACUCAGUCGAAUAAAAUUCUGGGCAUAAUUAUGAUGAUGACAUUAUUUACCCAUGUGUCUUGACCAAAUUACGUGCCAGCAGUCGCGGUAAUACGUAGAAGACUAGUGUUAUUCAUCUUUAAUAGGUUUAAAGGGUACCUAGACGGUAAAUAAAGCCCUUGCAUAGCAUGACGGGACUAAUUUGCUAGAGUUACUUACGCGGGGGUUUUAAAGUACUAAUGGUGUAGAGAUAAAAUUUUGUAAUACCAUUUUUCGAAAGAAAAGUUUUGGCACUGGUAAAGGCGAA